AUUUAAUUUAUUUGCUUUUCUUUAUUUGACUAAUAAAAAAUUUAUUGUAUUGUUUAGUAUUUUAACCCUAAAUACAUCUUAUUGACCCCCCCCCCCUGGUCUCUCUUUAUUUUUUUUAGGAGUUCCAUUUAGCCUAUUCUCUAAUAAUUGUACCAGUUCAAGCGGUGUAAACCUUAAAAUUUAUAAUUCUUAUUUUCAUACUAAGCUUCCACUUUUCAAACCUUUUAUUGUUUUUGUCCAUAUUUUCUAAUGUGCCUUAGUUACUUAUAUUAUUAAUUUACAUAGUUUUGAAAAAUAUACAUGGGUGUAUUAAUUUUUAUUAAAAAAAAUUAAAUAAAUAUUUGUGCAAAAGAAAUCAACUAUUAUUUUUUUAAAUCAUUGAAUAUUGUAUAGGUUGGCAUAUUAAUUAUAGUAGAGUUUCUAUUGACUACUAUCCAGAAGCCACCUUGGGGUCACGGAGUCCCAAGGGGUGUUUAGGUUCGCCCCACAAACAUUUUUGAUCACUCUCAGUGUUAUGAUAGUCCUAUGCAAUUUUUAUAAAAUAAGUAGUAUUAUGGUUUGUGGUGUUGAAAUCCUACA
Molecule: ribosomal RNA, 579 nt
Filed under: Hormiphora californensis
Lineage: Eukaryota; Metazoa; Ctenophora; Tentaculata; Cydippida; Pleurobrachiidae
Description: small subunit ribosomal RNA
Source: RNAcentral